This 563-nucleotide ribosomal RNA is filed under the name fungal sp. RNAcentral's name for it is "eukaryotic LSU rRNA". The stretch from base 189 to 342 matches the Rfam family "5.8S ribosomal RNA". The record is from RNAcentral. Lineage: Eukaryota; Fungi.
AGGGAUCAUUAAAGAGUUCUAUAACUCCCAAAACCCAUGUGAACAUACCCUACGUUGCCUCGGCAGGUCGCGUCUACCUCGUAGCGCCCUACCCUGUAGGGCCUACCCGGCAGACCCGGGUAAGCCUGCCGGCGGCCCACGAAACUCUGUUUAAUAUUGAAUUCUGAACCUAUAACUAAAUAAGUUAAAACUUUCAACAACGGAUCUCUUGGUUCUGGCAUCGAUGAAGAACGCAGCGAAAUGCGAUAAGUAAUGUGAAUUGCAGAAUUCAGUGAAUCAUCGAAUCUUUGAACGCACAUUGCGCCCAUUAGUAUUCUAGUGGGCAUGCCUGUUCGAGCGUCAUUUCAACCCUUAAGCCUCUGUUGCUUAGUGUUGGGAGCCUACGGUAUAGUAGCUCCUCAAAGUUAGUGGCGGAGUCGGUUCACACUCUAGACGUAGUAGAUUCUAUCUCGCCUAUUAGUUGGACCGGUCCCUUGCCGUAAAACCCCCUAAUUUUUAAAGGUUGACCUCGGAUCAGGUAGGAAUACCCGCUGAACUUAAGCAUAUCAAUAGCCGGGAGGAAA